AUCAUCGGCCGGGAAUCGAACCCGAGCCGCCCGCGUGGCAGGCGAGCAUUCUACCACUGAAACACCGAAGGUUAUGA
Molecule: transfer RNA, 77 nt
Filed under: Cordylochernes scorpioides
Lineage: Eukaryota; Metazoa; Arthropoda; Arachnida; Pseudoscorpiones; Chernetidae
Description: tRNA-Gly
Source: RNAcentral